UACGUAGGCAGCGAGCGUUGUUCGGAGUUACUGGGCGUAAAGGGUGUGUAGGCGGUUGUUUAAGUUUGGUGUGAAAUCUCCCGGCUCAACUGGGAGGGUGCGCCGAAUACUGAAUGACUAGAGUGCGGGAGAGGAAAGUGGAAUUCCUGGUGUAGCGGUGAAAUGCGUAGAUAUCAGGAGGAACACCGGUGGUGUAGACGGCUUUCUGGACCGUAACUGACGCUGAGACACGAAAGCGUGGGGAGCGAACAGG
RNAcentral lists this ribosomal RNA (253 nucleotides) under uncultured bacterium. Its description in RNAcentral is "partial 16S ribosomal RNA". It matches the Rfam family "Bacterial small subunit ribosomal RNA", at positions 524 to 776 of the family's 1533-position model. The record is from RNAcentral.